UGCGAGUCGAGAGGUGCAAGACCUCGGCAUACUGCUCAGUAACACGUGGACAAUCUAACCUAAGGUGGGGGAUAACCCCGGGAAACUGGGGAUAAUACCCCAUAGACUAUGGAAGCUGGAAUGCUCUGUAGUUCAAAGGUUCACCGCCUUAGGAUGGGUCUGCGGCCGAUUAGGUUGUUGUUGGGGUAACGGCCCAACAAGCCUGUAAUCGGUACGGGUUGUGGGAGCAAGAGCCCGGAGAUGGAUUCUGAGACACGAAUCCAGGCCCUACGGGGCGCAGCAGGCGCGAAAACUUUACAAUGCGGGAAACCGUGAUAGGGGAACUCUGAGUGCCCGUUAAAUCGGGCUGUCCGCCAGUUUAAACAACUGGUGAAGAAAGGGCCGGGCAAGACCGGUGCCAGCCGCCGCGGUAAUACCGGCGGCUCGAGUGGUGG
RNAcentral lists this ribosomal RNA (434 nucleotides) under uncultured archaeon. RNAcentral describes it as "bacterial SSU rRNA". It matches the Rfam family "Archaeal small subunit ribosomal RNA", at positions 52 to 494 of the family's 1478-position model. The record is from RNAcentral.